Molecule: long non-coding RNA, 613 nt
Organism: Hipposideros armiger (great roundleaf bat)
Lineage: Eukaryota; Metazoa; Chordata; Mammalia; Chiroptera; Hipposideridae
Exons: 3
Source: RefSeq, a predicted model, not a curated record
GCCAGGGGAGCGGAGGACGCAGGAGGCCCUUCGCGCUGCCGCCCCAGACCUAGACGCUGUUCUCAGAGGCCUCACGGGGCCGGAGCGGGGGCGGGGGUAAUGGACCUGGAGCCACCUAGCUCCUGCCUGGGGCCGUCACCUCGGUCCCUAGGCUCUGUCGCUCCCAAAGGCCAGGGUUCCAGCAGCCUAAGAAGACGCGUGGAGGACAGCGCAGUUCGGAGAGAGGGCGCCAAAGGCGACGCACCGGCUGCCAGCUCCCAGCCAAGCCCAGUGCGUCCGCAGGAACCGGCCCCUUCACCCAGCGCGGGACGCGGAGCUGCGCGAGAAUCUUGUUCAGCGCGGACUCAACGCCAGGGCGCCGCCUAGAGUCACCAGAAACCGCAGCAUCCCACGCCUGUGGGCUGGAUCCGCGCCUCUAGGAGCACCCACGAAGCCUGGCUCCUUCCCUGCCUGUAUGUCCGGGGCAUCGAGAGAGAGCCUGACGCCAGGCUCACCUCGAGAGAACAGGGCCGAGUUCCCUCAAAGGCCCAGCCAGGCUGAACUUGUCCGGAUUAAUAAAGACCUGACUUGCCCGCACCCAGCUGCCCCGUUGCGUGCAAUCCCUGCGUUUGUU